This 254-nucleotide ribosomal RNA is filed under the name uncultured bacterium. Its description in RNAcentral is "partial 16S ribosomal RNA". It matches the Rfam family "Bacterial small subunit ribosomal RNA", at positions 524 to 776 of the family's 1533-position model. The record is from RNAcentral.
UACGUAGGCAGCGAGCGUUGUUCGGAGUUACUGGGCGUAAAGGGUGUGUAGGCGGUUGUUUAAGUUUGGUGUGAAAUCUCCCGGCUCAACUGGGAGGGUGCGCCGAAUACUGAAUGACUUGGAGUGCGGGAGAGGAGAGUGGAAUUCCUGGUGUAGCGGUGAAAUGCGUAGAUAUCAGGAGGAACACCGGUGGUGUAGACGGCUCGCUGGGACGGUACUGACGCUGAGGCGCGAAAGCGUGGGGAGCGAACAGG